AAAUUUCGUGCAGUUCUGGGCCGCGAGUGGAGGCCGCCGCCGCCGUGGGUGGCCGGAAUCCUGCCGGCGUUACUGUUCAUGGCCGGAUUGUCUUGAGGAAGAAGACGAUCCCAUGGCCGUUAGAUCGCUUUGACUUUGUCUUUUGAUCCAAAGGCCCACAUAUUUUCUGAUUUUUCGUUUUUAUUUUUUUUAUUUAGUCACUUAAGUGACUUGUGUGAC
Molecule: long non-coding RNA, 219 nt
Filed under: Lathyrus oleraceus (garden pea)
Lineage: Eukaryota; Viridiplantae; Streptophyta; Magnoliopsida; Fabales; Fabaceae
Description: Pisum sativum (pea) long non-coding RNA (PSAT_LNC021173)
Source: RNAcentral